This is a non-coding RNA of Parasteatoda tepidariorum (common house spider), 260 nucleotides long. Lineage: Eukaryota; Metazoa; Arthropoda; Arachnida; Araneae; Theridiidae. The record is from RefSeq and is a predicted model, not a curated record.
AAUGUAUAUAAAGAGGUGCUUCUAUCAGAGCACUCAGGGUUUCCUGUUCAAUGCUUGUGUGUUAAAAAUUCAAGUUUCUUUCAGGUUUGCUUUUCUCCAUUCAUUAGCUAUUGCUUGAUAUUCCCCACGUAUUGCAAAAGUGAAAUGGGUUGAAGAAUCUAAAACUAUCUUCCAGUCUCUUUGAAGAUCUUAAAGUAAAAAGAAUGACAUGUUUGAUAAUUGUUUAAAGAUAAGACAUAAAGAUAAUUGUUUAGAAUAUA